RNAcentral lists this ribosomal RNA (291 nucleotides) under uncultured bacterium. Its description in RNAcentral is "partial 16S ribosomal RNA". It matches the Rfam family "Bacterial small subunit ribosomal RNA", at positions 333 to 641 of the family's 1533-position model. The record is from RNAcentral.
CAGGCCCUACGGGGCGCAGCAGUGGGGGAUAUUGCACAAUGGGGGAAACCCUGAUGCAGCGACGCCGCGUGGGUGAAGAAGCGCCUCGGCGCGUAAAGCCCUGUCAGCAGGGAAGAAAAUGACGGUACCUGAAGAAGAAGCCCCGGCUAACUACGUGCCAGCAGCCGCGGUAAUACGUAGGGGGCAAGCGUUAUCCGGAUUUACUGGGUGUAAAGGGGGCGCAGACGGCGAUGCAAGCCAGGAGUGAAAGGCCGGGGCCCAACCCCGGGACUGCUCUUGGAACUGCGUGUC